GAUGAACGCUGGCGGCGUGCCUAAUACAUGCAAGUCGAGCGAACAGAUGAGGAGCUUGCUCCUCUGACGUUAGCGGCGGACGGGUGAGUAACACGUGGAUAACCUACCUAUAAGACUGGGAUAACUUUGGGAAACCGGAGCUAAUACCGGAUAAUAUAUUAUACUGCAUGGUUCAAUAGUGAAAGACGGUUUUGCUGUCACUUAUAGAUGGAUCCGGUCCGCAUUAGCUAGUGGGUAAGGUAACGGCAUACCAAGGCAACGAUGCGUAGCCGACCGGAGGGGGGGACGGGCCACACGGGAACGGAGCAACGGCCAAGACUCCUACGGGAGGCAGCAGUGGGGAAUCUUCGGCAGUGGGCGAAAUCCUGACGGGGCAACGCCGCGGGGGGGAGGAAGGUCUUCGGAUCGUAAAACUCUGUUAUUAGGGAAGAACAAUGGUGUAAGUAACUAUGCACGUCUUGACGGUACCUAAUCAGAAAGCCACGGCUAACUACGUG
Molecule: ribosomal RNA, 497 nt
Filed under: uncultured bacterium
Lineage: Bacteria
Description: partial 16S ribosomal RNA
Rfam family: Bacterial small subunit ribosomal RNA
Source: RNAcentral